ACCAGUAGCACCUCAGGCGCCUCCAGUUGCUCCUCCACCUCAGGCGCCUACAGUUGAUCAUCCAGUUGGGCCAAUCACUCGGGCCCGUGCGAGAGAAUUAAACUUCAUCAUGCUGUUAAGGAACGAAGGCCCAGUGGAAUAAGAAGAUGGCCCAACAGGGCAGCCCAGGUGGGGCGCCUAGGGUUGGGAGCCGCGGCCCUCCCCCUGGUCGCGCGCCCCCCCUCCUGCCGUGGUGCCUCCUCCGGAGUCCAGGGGCUGCGCCCCCUUUAUUUAGUCGGAGUCCCUUUUGUUUACGACUUGAGUUUUGUUUUACAUCUAGCUUUAGCUACUCUCGAACACGCGCAAAUACGCGCUGUCCUUGUG
Molecule: long non-coding RNA, 363 nt
Filed under: Setaria viridis
Lineage: Eukaryota; Viridiplantae; Streptophyta; Magnoliopsida; Poales; Poaceae
Description: long non-coding RNA (SVIR_LNC007732)
Source: RNAcentral